UAUCUAGAUACCAUCGUUUUUUCACUUUAUUAGCUGCAAGACACCCCUGCAAUAAAGAUCAAGAAAGAGCUUUAGGUACACAAACUAUGUUGGGUCCUUUAGGGUUAGUACUUGAUGUUCCUUUUGGAACCCAAACUUUCUUGAAUUUAAUCUUAUGAUUAUUACUCAAUUUGUUUUGACUGAACUUUCUAUAGUUACAUUCAUAUGCUUUAUGUCCUAAUUUAUUGCAGCAAUGACAAGUAAUAUUUUCAUUUUUAGCUUUAACAAAAAUAUUCUUUAAGUAUUUUUGUUUCCUAUUUGUUUUAUAACCUAAUCCAGCCUUAUCAUAUACAGCUUUUUGACUAUCAAGAAU
This 352-nucleotide long non-coding RNA is filed under the name Phoenix dactylifera (date palm). Its description in RNAcentral is "long non-coding RNA (PDAC_LNC019225)". The record is from RNAcentral. Lineage: Eukaryota; Viridiplantae; Streptophyta; Magnoliopsida; Arecales; Arecaceae.